AUGGCAGUUCGUGACGGCGUCAUCUUCGCCAAGCUACGGGGUUUUUCGAAAGUCGUGCUCGAGACAGAUUGCUUGGAGGAAGUCAACCUCUGGGCCGCUCGGCACGAUUCUCGCUCUAUUGUGGCACCCAUCUUAGUAGAAAUUGGAGAGCUAGCUAGCACUUUUACUUCAUUUGUAAUUCAGCAUGUAUCCAGGUCAGUUAACGUCCCUCAUAUCUGUGCUAAGCAUGCUUGCACGAUUGAUGGAACCGAGAGUUGGCUUGACAACACUCCUAGCUUCUUGAUCAGCAGCCUUUUGGCUGACUGCUCGGCGAACGACUUCGUUUAA
RNAcentral lists this ribosomal RNA (327 nucleotides) under Triticum aestivum (bread wheat). RNAcentral describes it as "partial small subunit ribosomal RNA". The record is from RNAcentral. Lineage: Eukaryota; Viridiplantae; Streptophyta; Magnoliopsida; Poales; Poaceae.